This 497-nucleotide ribosomal RNA is filed under the name uncultured bacterium. Its description in RNAcentral is "partial 16S ribosomal RNA". It matches the Rfam family "Bacterial small subunit ribosomal RNA", at positions 28 to 507 of the family's 1533-position model. The record is from RNAcentral.
GACGAACGCUGGCGGCGUGCCUAAUACAUGCAAGUCGAGCGAACGGACGAGAAGCUUGCUUCUCUGAUGUUAGCGGCGGACGGGUGAGUAACACGUGGAUAACCUACCUAUAAGACUGGGAUAACUUCGGGAAACCGGAGCUAAUACCGGAUAAUAUUUUGAACCGCAUGGUUCAAAAGUGAAAGACGGUCUUGCUGUCACUUAUAGAUGGAUCCGGGCUGCAUUAGCUAGUUGGUAAGGUAACGGCUUACCAAGGCAACGAUGCAUAGCCGACCUGCGAGGCGGAUCGGCCACAUGGGAACUGAGACACGGUCCAGAGUCCUACGGGAGGCAGCAGUAGGGAAUCUUCCGCAAUGGGCGAAAGCCUGACGGAGCAACGCCGCGUGAGUGAUGAAGGUCUUCGGAUCGUAAAACUCUGUUAUUAGGGAAGAACAUAUGUGUAAGUAACUGUGCACAUCUUGACGGUAACUAAUCAGAAAGCCACGGCUAACUACGUG